Molecule: ribosomal RNA, 305 nt
Filed under: uncultured bacterium
Lineage: Bacteria
Description: bacterial SSU rRNA
Rfam family: Bacterial small subunit ribosomal RNA
Source: RNAcentral
AUUCCUACGGGAGGCAGCAGUGAGGAAUAUUGGUCAAUGGACGAAAGUCUGAACCAGCCAUGCCGCGUGCAGGAAGACGGCUCUAUGAGUUGUAAACUGCUUUUGUACAAGGGUAAACCUGAAUACGUGUAUUCAGCUGAAAGUACUGUACGAAUAAGGAUCGGCUGACUCCGUGCCAGCAGCCGCGGUAAUACGGAGGAUGCAAGCGUUAUCCGGAUUUAUUGGGUUUAAAGGGUGCGUAGGCGGAUUGAUAAGUUAGAGGUGAAAUGUCCGGGCUCAACUCGGGCACUGCCUCUAAUACUGUU